Molecule: long non-coding RNA, 1678 nt
Organism: Heterocephalus glaber (naked mole-rat)
Lineage: Eukaryota; Metazoa; Chordata; Mammalia; Rodentia; Bathyergidae
Source: Ensembl
CAGCGUUUGUGUGUCGCGGCUUCCGAGGAAGGGAUUACGCAGCGGGAGCGGCCGGCGAAGCAGGCCUUGGGGGCCGCAGGACGUAGCUGAAGAGAGCAGAGAUUUCUGGAUUUUUCUCAAGUGCUACACGGCACUCCUUCGCUCAUCUGGGGAGGCAAUUACGCGAUAAUUAAGCGACUCGCACAGCUCCUUUUAUCUUGUUCGCGGCGUGGAGUGGUGCGAUCAAAGUAAAGGCUGUCCAAGUUCAAGCCCUGGUGAGGACGGAGUUCAUACACAAGGGCUCAGGCAGGGCAGCCUCUGCUUGGGCUGGUGUUGUUAUUGUCCAUGUCAAUCCGAACAGGACUUACAAAGAAAUAGGUGGACUGGAAAGUGAGCCUACUAUCAAAGGAGAUUAAUGAUUUUGUGAUCCGAAGCAAUUGGGGGUGGGGGUGGGGGUGAAGUUGCGUUUCAAAGCUUCUUAGAAGGCAAACAAAUCAUCAGCUUUAAGUUUGCAGAACAAUAUUUUUAGAAAAUAUCUUCACAGAACUGCAGCUACCCUGAAAUGUCCUGGGGGCACACAGCUUCCCUACAGGAGUGAAUUAACUCCCUUCCCUUCACUCCCUCCAUAGCUUCCAUGAUGGCUGAGUUUCCUUUCUCUUUCAACAAGAAGAGAGGGUUCAGGAGUCUGUGGUAGACAACUUAAUCUUAUCAGCCACAGCUGAUAUUUUAUUCACUUGAAUAUUCAGAUAAAGAAAAACUAUUUUGGGGAAAGGAGAUAAAUAAUAUUUGGUUUCAUCGUGGAAAAACUCAAAAGAAACACACAAGGCUUAAAGCCAUGCCACAAAAAUGAAGUAAACAUUACAAGGAAUAAAGAAUUUUUUAAAUUCUCAAUUCUUGGCAUAUUAAAUCAACUUAUCCUUCCACUUUGAGUAUUUUUCACUCCUUUUUAUUAGCUAUACAUUCAUUUAAAUCAUAGACAAAGCAAUUUCGUUUUGGAGUACUUUCCUGUUUGUCAUUAUAUCAAGUUCCAUACUUUAGGAAAUAUUAAAUUCAGAAGAUCCAUUUUGGAUUUAAUUAAGUGAAGGAAAAUAACAGAAAUCCUUUUUGUUAACAUUUGAUUUAUUUAAAGUCCUUAACUGCAAAUGAUCAAGAACAUAUUUCACGGCUUAAAAUCUGGUAUUAUUUUUGUUAUCUAAAUCAAAAUAUUUUAAUUACAAUCACAUUGAUAAAAAUUAACAUUUUAAUUUGCAAUAUUAACCAUGAUUAAAGCAAUUUUAGCUGUAAAGGAAAAGAAUAAACCAUGCAAUAAAUUAACAUUGAGAAGGCAAAAAGGAAUUAUAAUGAAACCCGUCUGUCUAUGCUAACACCAUGACCAGCUGUGGAAAGUGCAUCAACACUGGGUGAAACAAGCACACGAUAGCAAUAAUUAAAAUGGCCACAAUCAAUAGGAUUUUGGAAUCUUGGACCAAAUUUUGAGAAAGAACUCUAUAUCUCUCUGCUCCAACUAAGUGAUAUUCUUUUUUGUCUGGGGGGAAAAUCCUUUAAACAGUAUACAUACACAAAAGCUAAUUUUAUACUUUAUGUGACCUUAGAAUGACAUGACCAUGGCACUCUGCAAAGCAAGGAUCAGAGUUCUUGAGGAGGGCAAUUCCCGAGAAGAGAUUCCCAGGACCAAAAGUGGACAGAAAGGACAAGGGGG